RNAcentral lists this ribosomal RNA (482 nucleotides) under uncultured bacterium. RNAcentral's name for it is "partial 16S ribosomal RNA". It matches the Rfam family "Bacterial small subunit ribosomal RNA", at positions 355 to 829 of the family's 1533-position model. The record is from RNAcentral.
UGGGGAAUAUUGCACAAUGGGCGCAAGCCUGAUGCAGCCAUGCCGCGUGUGUGAAGAAGGCCUCGGGUUGUAAAGCACUUCAGCGAGGAGGAAGGUGGUGAACUUAAUACGUUCAUCAAUUGACGUUACUCGCAGAAGAAGCACCGGCUAACUCCGUGCCAGCAGCCGCGGUAAUACGGAGGGUGCAAGCGUUAAUCGGAAUUACUGGGCGUAAAGCGCACGCAGGCGGUUUGUUAAGUCAGAUGUGAAAUCCCCGGGCUCAACCUGGGGACUGCAUUUGAAACUGGCAAGCUAGAGUCUCGUAGAGGGGGGUAGAAUUCCAGGUGUAGCGGUGAAAUGCGUAGAGAUCUGGAGGAAUACCGGUGGCGAAGGCGGCCCCCUGGACGAAGACUGACGCUCAGGUGCGAAAGGCGUGGGGCAGCAAACAGGAUUAGAUACCCUGGUAGUCCACGCUGUAAACGAUGUCGAUUUUGGAGGUUGUG